AUUGAACGCUGGCGGCAUGCCUUACACAUGCAAGUCGAACGGCAGCACGGGAGCAAUCCUGGUGGCGAGUGGCGAACGGGUGAGUAAUAUAUCGGAACGUGCCCAGUCGUGGGGGAUAACGUAGCGAAAGCUACGCUAAUACCGCAUACGAUCUACGGAUGAAAGCGGGGGGAUCGCAAGACCUCGCGCGAUUGGAGCGGCCGAUAUCAGAUUAGGUAGUUGGUGAGGUAAAGGCUCACCAAGCCGACGAUCUGUAGCUGGUCUGAGAGGACGACCAGCCACACUGGGACUGAGACACGGCCCAGACUCCUACGGGAGGCAGCAGUGGGGAAUUUUGGACAAUGGGCGCAAGCCUGAUCCAGCAAUGCCGCGUGCAGGAUGAAGGCC
This 387-nucleotide ribosomal RNA is filed under the name uncultured bacterium. Its description in RNAcentral is "bacterial SSU rRNA". It matches the Rfam family "Bacterial small subunit ribosomal RNA", at positions 29 to 416 of the family's 1533-position model. The record is from RNAcentral.